This 493-nucleotide ribosomal RNA is filed under the name uncultured bacterium. RNAcentral describes it as "partial 16S ribosomal RNA". It matches the Rfam family "Bacterial small subunit ribosomal RNA", at positions 30 to 523 of the family's 1533-position model. The record is from RNAcentral.
AUUGAACGCUGGCGGCAUGCUUUACACAUGCAAGUCGAACGGUAACAGGUUAAGCUGACGAGUGGCGGACGGGUGAGUAAUGCAUCGGAACGUGCCCGGUCGUGGGGGAUAACACUUCGAAAGAAGUGCUAAUACCGCAUACGAUCUGAGGAUGAAAGCGGGGGACCGUAAGGCCUCGCGCGAUCGGAGCGGCCGAUGUCAGAUUAGGUAGUUGGUGGGGUAAAGGCUCACCAAGCCGACGAUCUGUAGCUGGUCUGAGAGGACGACCAGCCACACUGGGACUGAGACACGGCCCAGACUCCUACGGGAGGCAGCAGUGGGGAAUUUUGGACAAUGGGCGCAAGCCUGAUCCAGCAAUGCCGCGUGCAGGAAGAAGGCCUUCGGGUUGUAAACUGCUUUUGUACGGAGCGAAAAGGCUCUCUCUAAUACAGGGGGCUCAUGACGGUACCGUAAGAAUAAGCACCGGCUAACUACGUGCCAGCAGCCGCCGUAA